Chrysemys picta bellii (western painted turtle) is the source of this 1117-nucleotide long non-coding RNA. RefSeq lists it as uncharacterized. Lineage: Eukaryota; Metazoa; Chordata; Testudines; Emydidae. The record is from RefSeq and is a predicted model, not a curated record.
GGGGGGGGGCGUGUCUCUGGUCUCUAACCUCCCCCCCUGUCCCAUGCAGGGUUCGCCUGCUCCUUCGGCCAGCAGCUCCCUAAUGGGUGGUGCCGUGAGUGAAUCAAGUCUGUCAUGUUCAUCUGGAGGGCAUUCACAUGCCGAAGAAGCCCCCCCAGCCUGAUGCAGGGUGACGCCAGCGAGCUGGAUUUUGGGGCGGUGCAGCGGGGGGACCCCAAGAUGGAGCAGAAGAUGAACCAGGUGUUGCAGGGCUGAGUGGGGAUAUCAGCCCCAUCUGCAGCUUUCAUGACCAGGGGGCUGAGGGCAACGGUUUGCAACAUGGUUGGCAGAGUGACCACUCUGAAGCUUCAGGAGGGAACAAAGCCAAAGGACUAGGAGGGUGGGGGUUAGCUGAAGAGCCCCUCGCCCUUGCUAAACAGGUAGCUGAACAAGGUCCGUGCUCAUGGAGACAAGAUUCUUUCCAGGGGAGAGACGUCCUUGAGUCUGUUUGUAAGGGAUUUGACUCAUUCUGUAAGUGCGUGAAACCAAAGGAAAAGCUAUCGAAGUAGCAGCUGCCACAAAGACAUUGUGGAAAGCUGUCGCUGAUCGCUCCAGCCUGGUAGCACUCCGGGAAACACAACUGGAAGAUUACAAAUUGCAGUUGGAUACAGUUAAGGAUAAUUUGGCUCAGUAGAAGGCAUCACAGGCAAAACCAGGAGAGCGUCAGCAACUGAAAGUAGAAAACCCGGGGAAGUAUCUACAUUGCAAUCGAAGCUGGGGGAUGCUCAGGCGGCUGUCAGAACGGUGUUUCAAGAAAAUAACGAGGGGGCCCGGACAAAUAGUGACCACGCAGUCUGCAGGCAGCGGACAGUAGCAGCAGUAAGAGGAGAAGUAAGUGCGAGCACCAGGGAUACAGACACCUGGAAUGAUACUUGGAACGGGGAUAUUUGAAUUGAUCCCGAACAGAGAGAUCUUGGAUGGUCAUAUCCUUCUGAUCUACUUUUCCUGAAGGGCCCUAUGGCCCUGUGCAAAGGGAAUUGCAGGAUUUUAAAUUAGAGGCUGUGAUGUUGUGCAGUCUAUAUGGUUUUAUAAAAAUAUGGUAAGUGAAUAUAACGUAACUGGGAUAUGCUUCAUGCAA